AAAAAAUAAAUUUAUAUAAAAAAUGUGAUCUAUUUUCUAAAUGAAUUGUUUCUCAGGCAAGCAUUUUUCAGCUCAGGCCCGAUUCGGCAUAGCCCAAAAUUUUUUUACCUAAUUUUUAUUAACACAAGUCUAUUCAAAAUUCUAAUACUCUAUAGCUCACGGCCUCACCUAGUUGCCCUCCCCUCCACUAAUUCUCAAUCCCAAAUCAGUUCCUAAAAACAAAAUUCCCAAGUGUCGCCUGCUGCUCACCAAUCACCACCACCGCUAUCCAGCGUCGCUCACCAAUCACCACCACCGCUGUCCAGCGUCACUCACCACUCACUAGUCACCACCUCCACCUGUCCACUCACCAGUCUCCCGCUUCCUCUGUCGUCGAUUGCUUGUUCUUCCAUCAAGAUUCAAGACACUGUCGUCGUCCUGUUGCUUCCUCUAUCACCGGUCGCUCGUUCUUCCAUCAAGAUUCAUAACACUAUCGUUGUCUCACUGCUUCAUCUAUUGUUGGCGUUCACCACUGCCGUCGCCUUCCCCGCUCUAGUCUUCAGCCGUCGUUGUCCCGCCAAUUUCUCCACCGACCAUCACCAUCAUCGUUCCAUAGGCAGUUAGACACUAUAUUUUUGCAGCUCACUCUUUAAUAGAAAGACUAAAAAAAGCAUAAAAAUUUAAGUUUCAUAAUCAAAUUUCACCACUGGUUUACUCAAUUCCCUGAUCUCCUAUUAACAACAACAAUGGUUUGCUCAAUAAUUGUUUAUUUUGGGUUAGAUUGCAUCGAGUUGAAAUUUUUAUAGUGUAGAACACUUCUUUUGUUCCCCUCUUUCUUUUUGCGGUUAUGUAUAUGUAUAACAUAUACAAUAUGAGAUAAAAGAAUGCUAAGUAUGGAUACAUUUAUUAUAGUAUCAUACUAUAGGCUUUAAUAAGAGUUGAGUCGGUC
Molecule: long non-coding RNA, 928 nt
Filed under: Gossypium raimondii (Peruvian cotton)
Lineage: Eukaryota; Viridiplantae; Streptophyta; Magnoliopsida; Malvales; Malvaceae
Description: long non-coding RNA (GRAI_LNC000781)
Source: RNAcentral